AACAGCAUCUCCAGCUGCAUCGGAGGAAAGAAGCGCCAGCGUGCUCCGUGCCACGUCGGAUUUGGCUCAAGACUGGUUGCAGCUGCGGGAGCGCAGCGCUGUCCCCGCGCACGCCCUGGCUACGGGCUGCUUAGCUGGGCGUCCGGCACAAGGAGGGAUGCGCGCUCUCCUCUCUCCCCGAGUGGCGAAUGCCACAGCCUGCGUGAGGGACCCCUUGCCCCAGAAAGGCUUUCGCAGGAUGGCUGUGCCCGGAUGCUCACUGCCUGACACUUAAAUGGAGUUUGGAAACUGCAAACGAGUUGGAGGCCUUGGAAAAGGGGGGAGUGGCUGAACCAGGAUGGUAGCGCGAAGAGGUGGCUCAGGACUUUUCCUUCCUUACGGUCUCUUCCAGCUUAAUGUAGCUGGAAGCCAGGAUCGUUUAACCCUUUCAGUACAAGUCCAAAUUGAGCUUUUUUUUUUUAUUUGUGACCCCACCCCACCCCCUGCACAGAACUGUGUCAGGGUGUUCCUGCCCACAUACUGGGGGGUUUGGGGGUAGGGGGGUUAGGGGGGGUUAGGAAGGUAAGGACAGUUGUGGGAUGAACUUUCCUUACACAGUGGAAAUCAUUGUUUUCUAACUCCGGAGUCCCUUUGACGCUCGGGAAGAUGCCCAGUGGAAAAGUACACCUCGGGACCAUCAGCUUUCCUUGGCCACGCCAGUUACCUGUGCGCCCAGAGAGGCAGCGGAUUCCACCGAAGAUAAAAACCCAGGCUAAGGCAUUCAAAGUUCACCCCAAAGCGCCUGUAUAACGUACCUUGUUCAGCUCCUGCUCAUAGACUCGUCCUCCGCCUGUCUGUGUGGUCCCGGAGGGUCGUGGAAGGAAGUUUCCAAAAUUGAGGUAAUAAGAAAUCAGAUGAAUUUGAGACGACCGGCCAAAAAAAAUAAGAAAUUUAAAAACAACAUUUAAAAAAAAAAUGGGGGGAGCCUUAAAUGUUUGGUUCUCCCCUCUUUGAGAAGAAAAUGCAUUAAUAUGCUCUUUUAUUAUUUCCGUUGCAUUUAAGUCUUCUAAAUUUUUUUGUUAAAUGUGCUUUAAAAAUAAAUUAAAUUUUCCCCUGUUUUGCUAUUUGCUCCAAUCCCCUUCCCUCCGACAAGGCAAAGUCUCCUUUUUCCACAUCAACCUAAAAGUCCGGUGAAGACUCAGCAGAGCCUAGCAAGAGCGGAAUGGAGGUCUUUGGCUGGUUCAAGUCCCCGGUUCAAUGGGCUGCUCAGAGCCAGGACUGGAGAAACGCAGCGCACAGAUGCUGACCAUCGCCUGAUACCUCUCCACAGGCAGUGGCCAAGAAGUGGGAAGCCCUGCUCUGUAAAUAUUGCUGAGGUCUGUCUGUGUGACAAGGAUUCCCUCUGCUUGAUAAACUCCCCGUUACAAAUAAGUGAUUUGUUUUAAGGCCAAACGGUUUUCUUAGGCUAAAUCACUGCCCCGAGCGGGAUACCGGCUGUGUGUGUGUGUGUGUGUGUGUGUGUGUGUGUGUGUGUGUGUGUGUGUGUGUUUCCGCCCGCGCUACCUGGAGCAACCCCAAACCGCCUAAGACGCUUAAAAAAGAGCGACUAGUCUGCCAUUUGUUAACCCUUUCUUCCUGCCAACUCCAAACUUUCUAAGCAAAUGGCAAAUGUCAACGUCUCUCCCUUGCAGUUUUCGCUGUGGGUGGGCUGAGUCCUGAAAUGAGGAAGAAUUUUAACAUUUAUUUUUUUCUUAUGAUUCCCAGACCUGAAAACAUGCAAAAGAUUUUCGAAAGGAGGUUUAAACUAAUGAUGAUAACGAUAAACCUGAGAAAAUGUGUACGGAAGCAGUCGCCUCUUAAGACAUCUGAAAUUACUUUUGCUUCUUGAAAGUCUUUUAGUUAAUGUUUUCAAAAUACUUUUUAAAAAUUUCAAUGACGCCAUGACUGGACAGUUUGUUUUCUCGGUUAUUUUUCUCAACCUAAGGGCAUCCGCGCCCUUUUUCUUUGAUCCUUGCAGUCCCCGCCCCUGCCCCCACCCAAAGCAAAAGGUAAAAAGGA
Molecule: small RNA, 2037 nt
Filed under: Rattus norvegicus (Norway rat)
Lineage: Eukaryota; Metazoa; Chordata; Mammalia; Rodentia; Muridae
Description: uncharacterized LOC108351495
Source: RNAcentral